This 238-nucleotide ribosomal RNA is filed under the name uncultured bacterium. RNAcentral's name for it is "partial 16S ribosomal RNA". It matches the Rfam family "Bacterial small subunit ribosomal RNA", at positions 15 to 248 of the family's 1533-position model. The record is from RNAcentral.
GAUCCUGCUCAGGAUGAACGCUAGCGACAGGCUUAACACAUGCAAGUCGAGGGGCAGCACAGGGUAGCAAUACUUGGGUGGCGACCGGCGCACGGGUGAGUAACGCGUAUGCAACUUACCUAUCAGAGGGGGAUAGCCCGGCGAAAGUCGGAUUAAUACCCCAUGAAACAGGGGUCCCGCAUGGGAAUAUUUGUUAAAGAUUCAUCGCUGAUAGAUAGGCAUGCGUUCCAUUAGGCAG